This 2162-nucleotide ribosomal RNA is filed under the name ciliate metagenome. RNAcentral describes it as "bacterial LSU rRNA". It matches the Rfam family "Bacterial large subunit ribosomal RNA", at positions 1 to 2008 of the family's 2925-position model. The record is from RNAcentral.
AUAAGCUAUUAAGGGCUGACGGCGGAUGCCUUGGCAUCGGAAGGCGAUGAAGGACGUGGCAAGCUGCGAUAUGCUUCGGGGAGUUGUUAACAAGCGUUGAUCCGGAGAUUUCCGAAUGGGGAAACCCGGCAGGAGUUAUAUCCUGUCAUCCUUACCUGAAUACAUAGGGUAAGGAGGCGAACGCGGGGAACUGAAACAUCUCAGUACCUGCAGGAAAAGAAAUCAAUAGAGAUUCCGUGAGUAGCGGCGAGCGAAAACGGAAGAGCCCAAACCGGCGUAUUUAUAUGCCGGGGUUGUAGGACCCCGAUACGGGAUUGAUAAUGGAUAGUAGAACGGCAUGGAAAGGCCGACCAGAGACGGUGAUAGUCCGGUAUACGAAAUCUUGAUUCACCCCAGGGUGUUCCUGAGUACCACGAGACACGUGAAACCUCGUGGGAAUCUGGGAGGACCAUCUUCCAAGGCUGAAUACUAACCGAUGACCGAUAGUGAACAAGUACCGUGAGGGAAAGGUGAAAAGAACGGGGAGAACCCGAGUGAAAUAGAAACUGAAACCGUCAGCUUACAAGCAGUUGGAGCACUAUGUAUUGUACAGUGUGACAGCGUGCCUUUUGCAUAAUGAGUCAACGACUUAUCCUGUGCAGCGAGGUUAAGCCGCGAGGCGGAGCCGUAGCGAAAGCGAGUCUUAAAAGGGCGAAUGAGUUGUAUGGGGUAGACCCGAAGCCGGGUGAUCUAUCCAUGGCCAGGGUGAAGUCUCGGUAACACGAGAUGGAGGCCCGAACCGAUAUAGGUUGAAAACUGUUCGGAUGAGCUGUGGAUAGGAGUGAAAGGCUAAUCAAACUCGGUGAUAGCUGGUUUUCUCCGAAAUAUAUUUAGGUAUAGCCUCAUAUGAUGACCGACGGAGGUAGAGCACUGACAGGGCUAGGGGUCCCACCGGAUUACCACCCCCUUUCAAACUCCGAAUGCCGUCGAGUUCAAGUGUGGGAGUCAGACUGUGGGAGAUAAGUUCCAUGGUCGAGAGGGAAACAGCCCAGACCGUCAGCUAAGGUCCCUAAACCGUGCUAAGUGGAUAAGGAUGUGGAAUUGUGAAUACAACCAGGAGGUUGGCUUAGAAGCAGCAAUCCUUUAAAGAAAGCGUAACAGCUCACUGGUCUAAUGAAUCUGCGCCGAAAAUGUAACGGGGCUAAGCAUGGUACCGAAGCUACGGACUCAGAGGACAGAGUACAGAUGGCAGCAAAUGAAGUAAGACGGGAAUGCCGGAGGGGUUCUACCGGGAAAUUUCCAGAGUGCUUCAGGGACUACACGGGAGUUGGAGAUGAUGCUCCGGCCCCCUCUGUCAUUUGUCCUCUGGCCUCUGAGUGGUAGGAGAACGUUGUGGCCGCCUGAGAAGGUACACCGUGAGGAGUGCUGGAGGUUCCACAAGAGCUUAUGUUGACACGAGUAGCGAUAAACAAGGUGAGAAACCUUGUCGCCGAAAGCCUCAGGUUUCCUUUAGUCAAGUUAAUCUGCUAAGGGUUAGUCGGCCCCUAAGGCGAGGCCGAAAGGCGUAGUCGAUGGGAAACAGGUUAAUAUUCCUGUACCAUUUUCAUAAUGUCAUGGUGAGGGGGGACGGAGAAGGUAAGGCCAUCCGGGCGUUGGUUGUCCCGGUUCAAGCGUGUAGGUGGAGAACUUUGGCAAAUCCGGGUUCUUAAUAACACUGAGGCGUGACGACGAUGUCUAACGACAGCAAAGUGGCUGGUUCCAUGCUUCCAGGAAAAUCCUCGUACCUAGUUAUGAAUGUGACCGUACCGUAAACCGACACAGGUAGGCAGGUAGAGAAUACCAAGGCGCUUGAGAGAACUCUGGUUAAGGAACUCGGCAAAAUAGCACCGUAACUUCGGGAGAAGGUGUGCCUGCGUGGUGAUGUGCGUUUACCGCAUGGAGCCUAGUCAGGUUGCAGUGAAAUGGGGGGAGCGACUGUUUACUAAAAACACAGGACUCUGCGAAAUCGCAAGACGAUGUAUAGGGUCUGACGCCUGCCCGGUGCCGGAAGGUUAAGGGGACAUGUUAGCGCGAGCGAAGCAUUGAACCGAAGCCCCGGUAAACGGCGGCCGUAACUAUAACGGUCCUAAGGUAGCGAAAUUCCUUGUCGGGUAAGUUCCGACCUGCACGAAUGGCGUAACGAU